This 459-nucleotide ribosomal RNA is filed under the name uncultured bacterium. Its description in RNAcentral is "partial 16S ribosomal RNA". It matches the Rfam family "Bacterial small subunit ribosomal RNA", at positions 338 to 795 of the family's 1533-position model. The record is from RNAcentral.
CCUACGGGCGGCAGCAGUGAGGAAUAUUGGUCAAUGGGCGUAAGCCUGAACCAGCCAAGUCGCGUGAGGGAUGAAGGUUCUAUGGAUCGUAAACCUCUUUUGUCAGGGAACAAAGGCGGGGACUAGUCCCCGGAUGAGGGUACCUGAAGAAAAAGCAUCGGCUAACUCCGUGCCAGCAGCCGCGGUAAUACGGAGGAUGCGAGCGUUAUCCGGAUUUAUGGGGUUUAAAGGGUGCGCAGGCGGCCUGUUAAGUCAGCGGUAAAAGCCCGGGGCUCAACCCCGGCGAGCCGUUGAAACUGGCGGGCUGGAGUUGGAGAGAGGUACGCGGAAUGCGCGGUGUAGCGGUGAAAUGCUUAGAUAUCGCGCAGAACCCCGAUUGCGAAGGCAGCGUACCGGCUCCACACUGACGCUGAGGCACGAAAGCGUGGGUAUCGAACAGGAUUAGAUACCCUUGUAGUC